GGCCCGGGUCCCGCGUUUCCUGGAAUUCAGGACCCAGCGUCCUCGCCCGUCGACCCGAAAACUACCGCCCCGCGGCGCCCGACCGGACCCACCUGUGGGCGCGAGCCCCAGCCGCCUCGCUGGGCGCUGCCUUCCCCCCGGCUCCUCCAGCAACUUUCAAGGGUCCCCCUGCAGUCUGGGCGCUGCUGUGAGCCAGGCCCGAGCUAGAAGCGGGGACCCCGGGAGCAUCGCAAACCUCGAGGGGAGUGCUUUCCACCGGAGAGACGGACGCUCGUCGCAGAAACACAUGACAUAAUUGUAUAGUUAAGGAGCUUUCGAGGGGGGCCAGCCUUGGCCUGCAGAACCUGCAGGAAUUCACCAGGGGUGGAGAGAACAUUCUACGUGAGAGACUCCAGGGAGCUGGGAGUGAAAGGAGGCGAGGAAAGCUGGAGCCCGAAGGGUGGGAGAACACAGACAGUCCCCUCCUGGGCAUUCACCUUUAAGAAACCCGCCCAGGCGCAGCCAGAGACCUGUGCCUAAUGUUCACACCGCGCUGUUCCGAAUAACAGGAGCAUUGGAAACACCCCCAAAUGCCCCUCCAUGGGCGAGUGGGCAAAUAAACUGGAAUAUUCACACCAUGAAACGUUAGACAGCAGUGAAACGGAAUGAACUUCAGCCAGAUAACAACAGAAGCAAUGCCUCAGAAGCAACGUUGAGUGACAAAACUAAGUUGCAGAAAACUGAAUACAACGGUGCAACUUUUAGAAUGUGUAAAAGCAAAACCAAAAGUGUGUGUAUUUAGACGCAUGCACCGGUGGAAAGAAAUUUAAAGCAAGGGAAAAAUGAGCAUAGGUACUGGAGAAGAGUGGUUAUCUCACGUGAAUGGGAAGGAGCUGGGAGGAGGAUGGAGUCUAGGUUUCCUCCUCUUGGACCUGCGCUGGCCUGAGUGACUCAUUGGAGUGAUAGAGCAUGAUGGGAGCAAGCUUCCUGGAUUUCCGAGCCUUGGUUAUUAAGAAGCUUUGUGGUGUCCUUUAGGGCCUCUUCAACAUUCUCUCUGGGAACCCAAGCUUCUAGAAGAGACCACCAUGCUAAGAGAGUCCACAUAUGGCCAUUCCAGUUGGCAGUCCCGCUGAGCCCAGGCUUCCACCAUCCCUACCAAGACAGCAAUCAUGUUAGUGAAGCUGUGGUGGGCCAUCCAGCCCAGCUGCCCACUGAAAACCAGGCUUCGGUCAAUGCCAUGUGGGACAGAAGAAUUACCCAAGAGGAGGAGAAGAGAAUCCUCACACAAGAGGAGAGGUGGGGAUCAUGGCAAUGAACGAGCAAAUGCCUCAUCAAGAUGCUGCUGCGCUGAAACAUAAAUCCAGUGUUGCCAGAUCCUCCAAGCAUCCAAAAAAGCCAGUGACUCCUCUUUUAAUGUUUAAACUGUAUUCAAAUGUGUCCUAAUGUUUAAAACUUUGUACAAGCCAAAGAAAACAUCUGUGGGCCAGAUUUUGCCCCACACAGCCAAGGUCCCUGCUGAUUCUGAUCUUCUAAGAUCUCUGAGUAAGAAAUAGGACAAGGGAGAGGUUGCAUUUUCACUCACAUUUAUCAGACAGGAUUAAGAUCAGUUGCACACAACAGAAAACCCCCAAAUAAUAAUGGCUGAAAAAAGACAGAAGUUUAUUUCUCUGUUGUGUAAAAACAGAUUAAAAAACCAGAGGCAGGCAAUGCCACUGAUGUGACAACUCUGUGAAGAUGGCUCCUUCCAUCCCUCUGCUCUGCCAUCCCUAGCAUCCAGCCCCUAUCCUCAUUGUGCAGUAUGGCUGCUGGAGCACCGGUCUUCACAUCUGCAGUCAAGAGAGCAGGGCUGAGGAAGGGAAGCAGCAGCUGGUGCUUCUCUCUUUUAAAGAUCUAGAUACCUGGUUUUUCUCUCAACAAAUUCUGCUUAUAUAGUCACAUGGUCACACCUAAUUGCAAAGGAGACUAGGAAAUCUCUUUUGCUGUAAAGCAAGGUACCCAGCUAAAAAAAAAAAA
RNAcentral lists this long non-coding RNA (1992 nucleotides) under Macaca mulatta (Rhesus monkey). RNAcentral's name for it is "lncRNA (ENSMMUG00000061501.1)". Lineage: Eukaryota; Metazoa; Chordata; Mammalia; Primates; Cercopithecidae. The record is from RNAcentral.